GAAUAUAACCACAUCUUUAUUUAAAGCUUUCAAAUGGAACAUAGUAUUUAGUUUCCUUGGAAAAGGAAAAAGUGAGAACCAAAAGGCAAAAUGCAAUUACACAUGAAAAUUCUUCUCAUAAAUGGAUCUAUACUCUGUGCAAUCUGAGUGGAGUUACUGACCAUGGUAGUAAGGUGCACUGGGUAGCUGGAAGGUACACGCUGUUGCAAGCUCUCGUAAGUAUGUUCAUCUAGGAGUGGCAGAAUUGUGCAGUUAAACUCACUACAGACCAGCCCAUUUACCAGUCAUUCCAGCAGCGUGUAGUCAGACACCAAAGCAAGACUCUGCUUUUGGAAAAGCUAUGUGGUGUUUUAGGGGUUAUGUUGUUGAUGGCAAACCCAAGAACUUUCCUUUAAACUCAGGCUGUGAAGUUAAAGCAGCAUCUACUCUGGGAGACAAUGUCUUUUUAAGGAUCACCAACAAAUCUUAUGUGUAGAAUAUAUAUAUACACACACUACAACGAGGCAAUCACUUGGAGCUUGCAGGGCAUCUCUGCUGAAUUAAUAAAAAAGCAGACGUUCGUUAGUUAAAAAUUGUUGCUUUUCAUGUUCACUAAGUGUGAUCCAUCGUUAAAGAUAGAUACCUUAAGCCCAGGUUUUGGGGUGGUUUGCUUUUUGCCUCACAUUGCUUGUGCAACCUUUAAACAACAAGUAACUGGAGGAAGGACUUUGCCUUGGGUAUAGAUGAGCUGGAGCCGUUCAGUCAUGCCCUGGAGGAGAGAUGCAGCAGCACCAGGAGAGGUGAUGCUCCAGGGAAGCGCUGGCCCACGGGAGCUGGAUGUACAACGCAAGGGGUGAGCCCUGGGAGUACAAACACGCUACGUAAUGUGCUUUACUAAGGACACCCAAAGCCUGCAUCCACUUGCUGGCGCUGCAGACAAACACAAGAGCAGCCCACAGAGCUCAAGACAGGUAUGACGCUGCCUUUCCCAACUCCCGUGCAUGUGUCCAAUGCUCUUUCCCACAGGGAAGUACCUCAACAGCAAAUAUCCCUUUUUAGGCUGAGUGUUGCACAACAAAAUGUUAACACGCUGAGUAAAUUUAAAAUUACCAACUCUACUGCUAAGGUUAUGCCCUAACACAGCAGCAGCUUUAGAUUAAGGCGGGGAAGAAAAAUUCUUCACCCCUACAUUAAUCCUAUUUAUUCAUUUCAGUUUCAUUAUGCUUUGAUAAUUUUCUAAUCUCUCUUUUGUGAGAAGACAAUUUUCUGAAACAAUUACUCUUGUUGAUGCCUUCUGCAAGAAAGAGGAAUUGUUUUUCCCUUGGGGGAAAAAUUGAUUUUCCCUUCGAGGGGAAAAAAAAUCUGCCUCAAGUCUUGCACAUGGCCUCAUACCCCCAGACAGACACUUCGGAGACACUGACGUUUCAACAAAUUUAAGCAAACUGAACCCGGCACUAAAAGCUAUCGCACUGUGAGAAUAAACCUAUCGCUCUGCAGCAAUGCCAUUUCUGCAGCACUCUUACCCUUUCCAAAUCUACCUGCCACGGGAAGCAGCCCCCUGCGCGGCACAGCAUGGCACAGCAGAGCACGCACUUCUUCCAGCACACUCAUCAGCAACACCAAAACCACGUGCAAGGGGGGUGCUGCUGCUGCUGCUCCCCAGAAAGCAGCAUCUUUGCAGCCUCAAUGUUCCAUGUAACCGCCUGUCCGGCUACUUCUGCUUCAGCUGUGCAAGGUUUUCAAGGGCCAAAAGCAGCAGGCAUCAUAACUAAUACAUCUUAAGACUCAAUAUUAAGGGUUCUCAAGUACUUUAAUGUUCAACACUGCUUCCAGCCUUUUGAGAAAUGCCUGACACCAAAAUGAAGCCAUUUUACCAUCUGCCUCAAGUCCUUCACCUCACACUUCACCUCCUUGGUCAGGAGUUAAAUUUCAAUACUAAUAAAUAGCUACAUACUGAAAAAGUCAUAUUUAAUCAAAAAGUGGGUUUAUUAGACUUUAUAAAAAAGAAUAAAUGUGAGUUCUUGUAGCAUUUGUAUGUAACUACUAAGUGCAUGAAGGAACUGAUCAAGACAGUUACUGAAAACUGCCCUGCCCCACUCUGUCAGCCUUUGGCCACCCCUUCAGCUUUCUUGGUAAUAAGUUUGAAGGCAAAAGCAAUCACCACUUGCUGCAAAUUAACCUUGAAGCCUCUCUCCACCUCUGCUGGUACUAGUCAGCUUCUCGGCUGUACUCUGAUACGCCAAAGCAUUCCAGAGGAAAACAAAUACCAUCAAACUAUUUCCACUAGGUUAAUGCUACACCAGCCUCCAUCUCUAGCCAAUAGAUGUUGCUCAGGUUCAACACAGAAGUUGUUUUAAGGGAAGGAAAAACGAAAAAAAAGCAACAAAUCCUCCUAUGCUCCUCUUAAUCUGAAUAUAAUCUGUGUAUAAAAUUUCUCCUUAUUUUGUUGCUACGAUAUCUUAAAUAACUUUCCUGUGACUGUGAUUUACUAAGUAUGCAUAUCUACCUAUCUACACACGUACCAGUACACUGAUUCAAUAAAUUAAAGCUCAAAACACUAAUUGUGAGCACAAUAUUUACAAACUGCAAUAAAUUAAGGAUUAAAAUGUGUGUGACAUUAAAUAAGGAUCUCAAAGACCCCACCAAGUAGCAACAACUGCCAACUUCCAUAGGAAAACCUUGCCAAAUGCUGCGCUGCUACCCGAGGCCAGGAGCGCGUGUGCAGGCCAGAGCAGGGCGAGGAGCACGGUGCUACGUGAUGCUCACCCAACAUGUCCCAAGCACGGGGCCAGGGACUUCAGCCUUUCGGACCGAUGACCUGGGGCCACAGCACUUGCGUGGUGGCAGCACCACAAACCCCAGGCGCUGGAAUAGAGACCUAUAUGUGUCUCUCCGGAUCUGCAAGGCGAGCUUCUGGGGGAGAACACGUAACCAAACAAACCCUCAAGUUUUACUCAAAGUUAUUAAGAAUAGUAUGAAGCCAGAAAAUGUCAUUCAAAACAAAGACUCACUCUGACAUAGUGCUUUGGCCAUAGAUGCAGAAAUCAAAACUGCCCAUUGCCUCAGCAUUAUAUGAAGUGGAGGGUAUUUCCAAGGCUAUUUUAGCACAAUUUUAAACUGUAAAAAGGGAAAAAUUCACCAUGCUGUAUGUUCUCAGUUUAUCCUUUGCCAAACCAGAAAUCAUUAUCAAGAGAUAAAAUUGUUCCUGAAGAAAACUACCAAAGCUGAGUGACCAUGAACAGCAAGGACCAUCACUCUGACCACACGUGCCUUUUUGAGAGCUGAGAUGUUUUUUUAAAUAGGGAGCUCACUUGAGGGCAUUCACUGGAGGAGAAUGCCAGGAGUGGGAUGGUACAAUUCACAGAAUCACACAGAAUGGUUUGGGUUGGAAGGGACCUUAAAGCUCACCCAAUUCCAACCUCCCUGCCAUGGGCAGGGACACCUUCCACCAGAUCAGGUUGCUCAAAGCCCCGUCCAACGUGGCCUUGAACACUGUCAGGGAUGGGGCAGCCACAGCUUCUCUGGGCAACCUGUGCCAGUGGAUGACCUUCUUCCCAAUAUCUAAUCUAAACCUACCCUUUUCCAGUUUAAAGCCGUGCUCCUUUGUCCUAUCCCUAUAUGCCCUUGCAAAAAGCCCUUCUCCAGAAUCAAGAGGACAGAAGCAGAUGAAUGGCUAAAGAUGAAUCAAGCUAGAUCAGAAAAACUCUCAAUCAUCAAUCCUUUCCUAACCAGUACUAAAUCACUGCUUUCCUCCUUUCUUCCUUUUUCUCUUCAUCCUUCAUUAAGAAAUUCAUCCCAGCAGAACUAGGGAAAAGCAGCUAUUCCCCUAAAGCAGCACAGUGACUAAGCAAAGGUACCACCCCAACAAAGCGCAGGACACAGAAGACAAUGCAACAGUUGAAGCUUUUUACAUGCAGUGCCCAUGAUAUCAAUGCUUUUCCUGCAUAUACAUGUCCACAGUCCUCUCGCAGCUGCACAUUUCAGACUGACAUAACAACCACCGUUUGGUUCUGACCUGUGGGUACAACAGAAGAGCCUCUUGCAAGCUUCACUGCACUCAACUUUAUCAAAUCAAAAAUCAAGAAAAAUAGGAAGCAGCGUGAAUUAAGGCAGGCAGCCACCUAUUAGAAGCAUCCCUACUUGAAAAAUUUAAGUAUCUGCCCAAAGGACUGCACUGUCAUCCUGGGCUGAAGGAUUAUCAAACCCCAUGCACCCCAGGAAAGGUUUCUGCUGACCAAAGAACUUCACAACCGAUCUGGCGAUUCAGCCUCUGCCUAUGAAGGAAUUUCUUUCCAGGCCAGUAAGAGCCCCGGGUUUACUGAGCGAGUGUCUCUUUACGGCUUUAUUGCCUUUUCCUGGCACUCCCUCGUCUUGUGGGCAUUUGCAGCCCUGGUUUGUAGACACUUCCCACUAGAGAGACUAUUUCAGCUUUGACACGAAGCUAACUCUAGCAGUAGAAGGAAGCCUUUGCGCUGGCACAGAUACCCACGGAUCCGAACUGGUGAAGGAAGCCAUUUAACCUCACCCUGCAGGUCGGUACCACAUCACAGGUCCUGCAGUUAAGGCUACAUCCCCAUUCCUGGCAUCCCCUAUCUACUUAUUUCCCCUUCUCUACUGGGCAGACGAUCAGCAACUGCCUGUAAAAUUAACAGGUGAUAAACCCAUACAACUUCUCUUGUAAUCUAGUUUUCCCAAAGAAAAAGUACAACUCACUGGUACAGAAAGUCUCCAUCUGAAGAAUGGCUCAAAUGAGUAACUAUUAUACAAAUAUACUCAUGCUAUCUCUUCCGAAGGUACAGA
This 4779-nucleotide long non-coding RNA is filed under the name Strigops habroptila (Kakapo). RNAcentral's name for it is "lncRNA (ENSSHBG00005019265.1)". The record is from RNAcentral. Lineage: Eukaryota; Metazoa; Chordata; Aves; Psittaciformes; Psittacidae.